GUAGCUUCUCGUGCCAAUCUUUAUAUGUCUCAGUCAUUUUCCAAAUAAUCUUCUUAAUAUUCUUGUUGGCUGCUUCAAUAGCUCCGUUCAUUUUCGGGCGAUAGGGUGACGAGUUAUGAUGCUUUAUUUGAAACUGCUCACACACUUCCUUCAUCAUCUUGUUGUUCAGAUUCAAUGCGUUAUCUGAAAUGAUUCUCUCAGGCAAACCAUAUCGACAAAUG
Molecule: long non-coding RNA, 221 nt
Filed under: Gossypium barbadense (sea-island cotton)
Lineage: Eukaryota; Viridiplantae; Streptophyta; Magnoliopsida; Malvales; Malvaceae
Description: long non-coding RNA (GBAR_LNC012951)
Source: RNAcentral